RNAcentral lists this ribosomal RNA (253 nucleotides) under uncultured bacterium. RNAcentral describes it as "partial 16S ribosomal RNA". It matches the Rfam family "Bacterial small subunit ribosomal RNA", at positions 524 to 776 of the family's 1533-position model. The record is from RNAcentral.
GACAGAGGGUGCAAACGUUGCUCGGAUUUACUGGGCGUAAAGCGCGUGUAGGCGGGCGAUUAAGUCGGAUGUGAAAUCCCUGGGCUCAACCUAGGAACUGCAUUCGAAACUGGUCACCUAGAGUGAUGGAGAGGAAAGCGGAAUUCCCGGUGUAGAGGUGAAAUUCGUAGAUAUCGGGAGGAACACCAGUGGCGAAGGCGGCUUUCUGGGCCUUACCUGACGCUGAGACGCGAAAGCGUGGGGAGCGAACCGG